CACGUAAGUUGCGAGCGUUGUUCGGAAUUAUUGGGCGUAAAGGGCAUGUAGGCGGUUUUGAAAGCUUGAUGUGAAAUCCCACAGCUUAACUGUGGAACUGCAUUGAGAACUACAAGACUAGAGUUACUGAAGGGAAACUAGAAUUCCAAGUGUAGGGGUGAAAUCUGUAGAUAUUUGGAAGAAUACCAAUGGCGAAGGCAAGUUUCUGGCAGAUAACUGACGCUGAGGUGCGAAGGUGCGGGGAGCAAACAGGAUUAGAUACCCUGGUAGUCCGCACAGUAAACGAUGUACACUAGGUGUUUGACCAUGAGGUUGGGUGCCAAAGCUAACGUGAUAAGUGUACCGCCUGGGAAGUAUGCCCGCAAGGGUGAA
Molecule: ribosomal RNA, 372 nt
Filed under: uncultured bacterium
Lineage: Bacteria
Description: bacterial SSU rRNA
Rfam family: Bacterial small subunit ribosomal RNA
Source: RNAcentral